AAAUUGAAGAGUUUGAUCAUGGCUCAGAUUGAACGCUGGCGGCAGGCCUAACACAUGCAAGUCGAACGGUAACAGGAAACAGCUUGCUGUUUCGCUGACGAGUGGCGGACGGGUGAGUAAUGUCUGGGAAACUGCCUGAUGGAGGGGGAUAACUACUGGAAACGGUAGCUAAUACCGCAUAAUGUCGCAAGACCAAAGAGGGGGACCUUAGGGCCUCUUGCCAUCGGAUGUGCCCAGAUGGGAUUAGCUAGUAGGUGGGGUAACGGCUCACCUAGGCGACGAUCCCUAGCUGGUCUGAGAGGAUGACCAGCCACACUGGAACUGAGACACGGUCCAGACUCCUACGGGAGGCAGCAGUGGGGAAUAUUGCACAAUGGGCGCAAGCCUGAUGCAGCCAUGCCGCGUGUAUGAAGAAGGCCUUCGGGUUGUAAAGUACUUUCAGCGGGGAGGAAGGGAGUAAAGUUAAUACCUUUGCUCAUUGACGUUACCCGCAGAAGAAGCACCGGCUAACUCCGUGCCAGCAGCCGCGGUAAUACGGAGGGUGCAAGCGUUAAUCGGAAUUACUGGGCGUAAAGCGCACGCAGGCGGUUUGUUAAGUCAGAUGUGAAAUCCCCGGGCUCAACCUGGGAACUGCAUCUGAUACUGGCAAGCUUGAGUCUCGUAGAGGGGGGUAGAAUUCCAGGUGUAGCGGUGAAAUGCGUAGAGAUCUGGAGGAAUACCGGUGGCGAAGGCGGCCCCCUGGACGAAGACUGACGCUCAGGUGCGAAAGCGUGGGGAGCAAACAGGAUUAGAUACCCUGGUAGUCCACGCCGUAAACGAUGUCGACUUGGAGGUUGUGCCCGUGAGGCGUGGCUUCCGGAGCUAACGCGUUAAGUCGACCGCCUGGGGAGUACGGCCGCAAGGUUAAAACUCAAAUGAAUUGACGGGGGCCCGCACAAGCGGUGGAGCAUGUGGUUUAAUUCGAUGCAACGCGAAGAACCUUACCUGGUCUUGACAUCCACGGAAGUUUUCAGAGAUGAGAAUGUGCCUUCGGGAACCGUGAGACAGGUGCUGCAUGGCUGUCGUCAGCUCGUGUUGUGAAAUGUUGGGUUAAGUC
RNAcentral lists this ribosomal RNA (1096 nucleotides) under Shigella dysenteriae. RNAcentral's name for it is "bacterial SSU rRNA". It matches the Rfam family "Bacterial small subunit ribosomal RNA", at positions 1 to 1086 of the family's 1533-position model. Lineage: Bacteria; Pseudomonadati; Pseudomonadota; Gammaproteobacteria; Enterobacterales; Enterobacteriaceae. The record is from RNAcentral.